UGAACAUAGAGGUAUCGAUGGGGAUG
RNAcentral lists this non-coding RNA (26 nucleotides) under Rattus norvegicus (Norway rat). Lineage: Eukaryota; Metazoa; Chordata; Mammalia; Rodentia; Muridae. The record is from RNAcentral.